Odocoileus virginianus texanus is the source of this 893-nucleotide non-coding RNA. NCBI's taxonomy places the organism in Eukaryota, Metazoa, Chordata, Mammalia, Artiodactyla, Cervidae. The record is from RefSeq and is a predicted model, not a curated record.
GAGCGGGGGAGGACGGCCGCAGCUCCGGCCAGUCCCCUCGCUUGUAGGGACUCGCCUUCGGGACAGCCACCGCAGGCCUCUCGCUGCCCUCUGAGGGGAAGGGAGGAACGAAAUAGGUGGGAGAGAGACGCAGUGUGCUCUUCCGCCGCCCAAUCCUGCUGACGGUGCGCGGACCCUCCGCGCUCUUGUUCCCUUCCGCAGUCCGCGCCCUGAGCCCGGAGCCGGGGAGCUGUCCGUCCCAUUGGUUCUGAAUCAGCCGCUACGGAAACUCUCCAGAAGAAUGAUGCCACAGAAAAGAAAUAAUUUCCAGCAUAUCUACAUACUGUGCCAACCAGCCAAAAAGUUUGAAGAGGGUGGCUGCUUCUCAUUGUGGAGGGAAGAGAGGAAAUGGAGGAAAACAUCUGGAAAAUAAAAGGCAAAAAACUUCCACAUCUACCUGGCAACUUCCUACUUGAUGCUACCAUGCUGAUUCCACAUCAUUAACUUUUAUAAUUAAUGUAUUUGUGAGGAUAAUUACAAAACCAAUAUUACACUAAGAUCUUUUAAUUUUGAGUCAUUUGAAAACAUCUUCCAAGUAAUACAGAUUCAUAAUAUAAUUAAGUAAUUUUAGGUUAAUGUUGAGCUUUUGGUUUAUAGUCUUCUCAAUGAGCUCCAAAUUGCAAAAGCAAUUUAUUUGUGUAAUAGAUUCCUUAGGAUUUGAUUUGUUAAACCAGGGGUUUGUACUUUUAGUACCUGGAGUUAAUAGCUGUAUUUCUCCUUUCAUGGCAUAGUACACUUUUGUUGUAUGUAUCUCUACAUACAAAAGAAAAAUACUACCAUUUAAACUAUGAUACAAUGUUUCUUUUUCCCUAAUAAUUUAAAUUUAAACAUAUUGAAAAAAAAUAGUUGACAAU